This is a long non-coding RNA of Ruditapes philippinarum (Manila clam), 669 nucleotides long. RefSeq lists it as uncharacterized. Lineage: Eukaryota; Metazoa; Mollusca; Bivalvia; Venerida; Veneridae. The transcript is spliced from 3 exons. The record is from RefSeq and is a predicted model, not a curated record.
CAUAGUUUAUACAUUCAAAUGAAUGUAAAAAUAAAAUGAUGGGUGCUAUGGUUUUUGAAUAAUCCCUCACAGUUUAAAAUUAUAAUGGAACUUUCCAGUUGUACGGUUGUAAAGUUUGAAUUCAAAGGAAUUGAGGUCAGUUAAAGCUUGCAAACACAAAGGAAAUGAUUGGUAUUGUAGCAAUUCUGGAGAUAUUAUUUUGUUAAAAAUGUAUGGGUGCAUAUUUUUGAUUUCUCAAAGAAUACAUUAAAAGUCUUAUUAGUGUGGCAAAUAGAAAUGAGAAGUUUUAACUGAAGUGUGAAUGUGUAGAUUAUAACAUUAGACAAGAAGAUAAACAGCAGAAUCAUUCCAAGUCAAAGUUUCAGACACAAAGCAAUGAGGAGCAGCCUGGAGCAACACACUUGUUCUUCAGUGGCUUUACAAAGGACCAAGUGAUGGCAGAACUGAGGCACUAUGCCUCACAUGAGAAAGGUACAACAAGGCUCUUCAGAAUGCUAUUCAAUAUAGGGGAGAUUAAAGGCGGCUCAUUGUUUGGUAUGAGAAAAUGGAACAGAGAGUCUGACGCCAGACCUGCUUGUGCAGACAAGGCAAAACUUAAGUUCUUGAAAGGUAACUAAUGAACUGAAUGAAAAUAUCAUUUUUGAUUCUGCGUAUUUUUUCUGCCUUGGA